UACGUAGGGGGCAAGCGUUGUCCGGAAUUAUUGGGCGUAAAGAGCGCGUAGGCGGUCCGGUAAGUCGGUUGUGAAAGUCGGGGGCUCAACCCUCGGAUGCCGAUCGAUACUGUCGGGCUAGAGUCCGGAAGAGGCGAGUGGAAUUCCUGGUGUAGCGGUGAAAUGCGCAGAUAUCAGGAGGAACACCGGUGGCGAAGGCGGUUCUCUGGGCCUGUACUGACGCUGAGGAACGAAAGCGUGGGGAGCGAACAGG
This 253-nucleotide ribosomal RNA is filed under the name uncultured bacterium. Its description in RNAcentral is "partial 16S ribosomal RNA". It matches the Rfam family "Bacterial small subunit ribosomal RNA", at positions 524 to 776 of the family's 1533-position model. The record is from RNAcentral.